RNAcentral lists this transfer RNA (67 nucleotides) under Marmota monax (woodchuck). RNAcentral's name for it is "tRNA.Undet". Lineage: Eukaryota; Metazoa; Chordata; Mammalia; Rodentia; Sciuridae. The record is from RNAcentral.
GGGGUUGUGGCUCAGUGGUAGAGUGCUCACCUAGCCAUGUGAGGCAGAAGUUCGAUCCUCAGCACCA